RNAcentral lists this ribosomal RNA (447 nucleotides) under uncultured bacterium. Its description in RNAcentral is "SSU rRNA". It matches the Rfam family "Bacterial small subunit ribosomal RNA", at positions 26 to 518 of the family's 1533-position model. The record is from RNAcentral.
AGGACGAACGCUGGCGGCGUGCUUAACACAUGCAAGUCGAACGCGUGUAGCAAUACACGAGUGGCGCACGGGUGAGUAACGCGUGGAUAUCUGCCUUUUGGUUCGGAAUAACCCCGGGAAACUGGGGCUAAUACCGGAUGGUUCCUACGGGAUAAAGAUUUAUCGCCAAAAGAUGAGUCCGCGUCCGAUUAGCUAGUUGGUGGGGUAAUGGCCUACCAAGGCGACGAUCGGUAGCUGGUCUGAGAGGACGAUCAGCCACACUGGGACUGAGACACGGCCCAGACUCCUACGGGAGGCAGCAGUGGGGAAUAUUGGACAAUGGGGGCAACCCUGAUCCAGCCAUGCCGCGUGAGUGAUGAAGGCCUUCGGGUUGUAAAGCUCUUUUGGCGGGGACGAUGAUGACGGUACCCGCAGAUAAGCCCCGGCUAACUUCGUGCCAGCAGCCGC